AUAGAUAUCAGGUGAAAAACAGAGUGGCCUCAGAAAUUAUGCAAAGGGACAUCGUCUUCAAAAUUUACAGCAAAAAAGCACAAAAAGAAAUAAACUUGGAAAAGUUGCAAUUGCCAAUGUUAGCUGCAAAAACUGAAAGCAAAACCAUUGCCUGGGCAGGUCCGGGCUUGUCUGGUCCAUACGGCAGAAGCUUAGAAAUAAGAAAAUUGACCAAAGACUUGAUGAUUAUUCAAAAGAAUAGACAAGACCUCCUCCCUCAAACGUCCCUUCGCAAAAGAAAGGUCACGAUCACAGUAACUCAGACCCAUCUCAUUCAGUUAUGCUAAAAACCUUAUAAGAUGUUCAACCCAGAUUACAGAAAUCUGUACAAGGGAAUGCAAAGGGUAUA
Molecule: unclassified non-coding RNA, 388 nt
Filed under: Hevea brasiliensis (rubber tree)
Lineage: Eukaryota; Viridiplantae; Streptophyta; Magnoliopsida; Malpighiales; Euphorbiaceae
Source: RNAcentral